UACAGAGGUCCCGAGCGUUGUUCGGAUUCACUGGGCGUAAAGGGUGCGUAGGUGGCCUAAAAAGUUUUGAUGUGAAAGCUCAGGGCUUAACCCUGAAAUGGCAUUGAAUACUGUUGGGCUGGAGGUUUGGAGGGGGGACUGGAAUUCUUGGUGUAGCAGUGAAAUGCGUAGAUAUCAAGAGGAACACCAGUGGCGAAGGCGAGUCCCUGGACAACACCUGACACUGAGGCACGAAAGCUAGGGGAGCAAACAGG
This 254-nucleotide ribosomal RNA is filed under the name uncultured bacterium. Its description in RNAcentral is "partial 16S ribosomal RNA". It matches the Rfam family "Bacterial small subunit ribosomal RNA", at positions 524 to 776 of the family's 1533-position model. The record is from RNAcentral.